Molecule: unclassified non-coding RNA, 344 nt
Organism: Macaca fascicularis (crab-eating macaque)
Lineage: Eukaryota; Metazoa; Chordata; Mammalia; Primates; Cercopithecidae
Rfam family: Metazoan signal recognition particle RNA
About the family: The signal recognition particle (SRP) is a universally conserved ribonucleoprotein. It is involved in the co-translational targeting of proteins to membranes.
Source: Ensembl
GCUGGAUGUGGUGGUGCAUGCCUGUAAGUUCCAGCUACCCAGGAGGCUGAGGCAGGAGGAUGGCUUGAGCACAGGAGUUCUGGGCUAUAGUGUGUGCUGUGCUGAUCAGGUGUCAGCAUAAGUUCUACAUCAAUAUGGUGACCACCUAGGAGUGGGUACCACCAGGUUACCUAAGGAGGGGUGAACUGGCCCAGGUCAGAAAUGGAGCAGGUCAAAAACUCCCUGCUAGGCCGGGCGUGGUGGCUCACGCCUGUAAUCCCAGCACUUUGGGAGGCCAAAGUGGGCAGAUCAUGAGAUCAAGAGAUCGAGACCAUCCUGGCCAACAUGGUGAAACCCUGUCUCUA